GACGAACGCUGGCGGCGUGCUUAACACAUGCAAGUCGAACGGAAAGGCCCUGCUUUUGUGGGGUGCUCGAGUGGCGAACGGGUGAGUAACACGUGAGUAACCUGCCCUUGACUUUGGGAUAACUUCAGGAAACUGGGGCUAAUACCGGAUAGGAGCUCCUGCUGCAUGGUGGGGGUUGGAAAGUUUCGGCGGUUGGGGAUGGACUCGCGGCUUAUCAGCUUGUUGGUGGGGUAGUGGCUUACCAAGGCUUUGACGGGUAGCCGGCCUGAGAGGGUGACCGGCAAAAUGGGAACAGGAAAAGGGCCCAGACCCGUCGGGGGGGCAGGAGGGGGGAAUAUUGCACAAUGGGGGGAAGCCGGAGCGAGCACCGCCGCGGGGGGGAUGACGGCCUUCGGGUUGAAACCCGUUUUGGCCUGGAACGAAGGGGGGGGGACGGUAAGGGGUAAAAAAGCCCCGGCUAACUACGU
This 467-nucleotide ribosomal RNA is filed under the name uncultured bacterium. RNAcentral's name for it is "partial 16S ribosomal RNA". It matches the Rfam family "Bacterial small subunit ribosomal RNA", at positions 28 to 506 of the family's 1533-position model. The record is from RNAcentral.